RNAcentral lists this ribosomal RNA (210 nucleotides) under uncultured Archaeospora. RNAcentral's name for it is "partial small subunit ribosomal RNA". It matches the Rfam family "Eukaryotic small subunit ribosomal RNA", at positions 591 to 805 of the family's 1831-position model. Lineage: Eukaryota; Fungi; Glomeromycota; Glomeromycetes; Archaeosporales; Archaeosporaceae. The record is from RNAcentral.
CCAAUAGCGUAUAUUAAAGUUGUUGCAGUUAAAAAGCUCGUAGUUGAAUUUUAGGCCUGACCGGACGGUCCGUCUCUGGCGAGUACUGUUCUGCUGUCGGGUCUAUCCUUCUGGUGAGCCGUUAUGCCCUUUAUUGGGUGUGUCGGGGAACCAGGACCAUUACCUUGAAAAAAUUAGAGUGUUUAAAGCGGGCUAUUGCUUGAAUAGAUU